Long non-coding RNA from Acipenser ruthenus (sterlet), 1838 nucleotides. RefSeq lists it as uncharacterized. The transcript has 2 exons. The record is from RefSeq and is a predicted model, not a curated record. NCBI's taxonomy places the organism in Eukaryota, Metazoa, Chordata, Actinopteri, Acipenseriformes, Acipenseridae.
GCAUAUUGGUCUUUGCACUCCUGUGGAUGAGGGAGGAAAAUCGUGUGGGUUCAAUUCGUCACCCAUCAGCAGACCCAGAUGGCCGGCAGUCUCACAAGUCCAGGCUGAGCCUCCCCUAAGUAGCUUAGUAACAGCCAUUGUUACACGAUUGGCUUGACAUCAGGAACUGUUGCUGUUCUGUCCUCAGUAUUGGAACGUGGGUUGCAGCAACAUUCAAACUGGACAUUUCAAAAUGGCUUGGAUUUACAGAGCACUCAGAUUGGCUGAACAAGAUUCUAAGUGGUGCUGUUGUUCAACAGCACACUGUUUUGAUCUGUUGAACUUCAGCAGUGAGGAUUUAUUUUCUUAGACUACUCAGCCUUUUAUUCGGUAUUCUAAAGACACAUUCUUUUUUAACUAGUGUAUCCUUAUCUAGUGCAGUUUUAUCUUUAAAAAAUCAUAUGGUGCUUCUAAUGGAACCAAUGGAAGAAAAGAACUGAGAACAGGAGGUGACCGUUUGACCUGUAAAGGCUUAUCCCUUCCAAGUGCACUGUUUGUCCCAUGUGAUGGAAACCAAUUCUAUACGGAAGAAUCUAUUCGCUUUUGUUUUUCUUUGUUACCUCAGCUGGUAAAUGAUUCUGUUUCUAACAUUCAGUUCUAAAAUUUUACAAGGCUUCUCUUGUGUAAAAUGUAUCUCUGUCAUUUAGAAUUUUAUAAAAAAAAAUACAACCCUCCCCUACCUGUCUUUUGUUCUAGACUGUAUAAAUGUAAUUAUUUUGCGAUUCUAUUAUCCGGACAGAGUAUAGUUUGAUCAAAUCAACCCCUAAAUGUAUGCCCUGGGAGCAUAAAGAUAUUAUUAUUAUUAUUAUUAUUAUUAUUAUUAUUAUUAUUAUUAUUAUUAUUAUUAUUAUUUGUAUUACCGUUAUCUCUAACAUGUAAACAUUUUAACUUUCUAUAUGAUGGCAGUAAAUUAUGUGACUAGGGCUGCAAUGAAGAGAUUUUAACUUAACACACGUGUGUCCAUUUAGUAGCAGCACAUAACUAUUUAAUUUAAUUAUUUUGUUACAACGUUUAUCUAAACAUUCAGAGCAGCCCUGCCCAACCUCUGUGAAUUCAAUGUUCUUUUUUCAAAACAGUAAGAUGAUUAAUCUCAACCAGUCUUUGCCUGGCUAUUCUGAAUGCAGUUCUAAACUCGUAUUUUAUUGCCACAAUUGGGGCUUUAAUGAUUCGCCUGUCCUGUAGGUGGAUGACAGACAGUUUACAACCCUGGCAUUUUUAACUUUUUUGCACAUUUGGCACCUUUUGUUAGCAACAUUUAGAAACCUGGUCUGCUUGUAUUCAAGGGUCACUGAAGGCCACUGAGGUCAAUGUAUUUCUAGCUGACAAAAGCAGAAUUCACUGUGUUAACAAAACAUAGAUGUAGCUAAAAACAAUAUUAUCUGAGAACAUUCUGUCUUUAUUCAAAUAAAUGAAUAUGAUUUCCGUAAUAUGUUUUAAGUAUGUACUACAUAAAUUCAAGUUUGUAUGAACAGGUUUAUAUGAGUCCUAACUGUAUAUCAGAAGGAUUCUAGGAUCAAAAAGUUAGUGUCUUUUACCAUGGCAGCAAACUAAGACUGGCAAGUUACCGGUACAGCAAAAAGAUGAUUACUAAAAGGGGAAUGUACAGUAGUUUCCUUUCACAGUGAAACAAUAUUGUGUACUAUUUUGAUUUUAAAUAAAUGUUUGCAAUACUAUUUUUUUAGAAGUUUUCUUAGCUGCAGUAUGUCUGCCACAAAAACUCUAUAGAAUUUACUUUGUCUUUAGGGAAAAUCUAAUUGCUUUUCAGUGUGCUGACAUUUAAUAAAACACAUUUGUUUAUA